RNAcentral lists this ribosomal RNA (531 nucleotides) under uncultured bacterium. RNAcentral describes it as "bacterial SSU rRNA". It matches the Rfam family "Bacterial small subunit ribosomal RNA", at positions 338 to 885 of the family's 1533-position model. The record is from RNAcentral.
CCUACGGGAGGCAGCAGUGAGGAAUAUUGCACAAUGGGCGAAAGCCUGAUGCAGCAACGCCGCGUGGAUGAAGAAGGCCUUCGGGUUGUAAAAUCCUUUUCUGGAGGAAGAGAAAGGACGGUACUCCAGGAAUAAGCGUCGGCUAACUACGUGCCAGCAGCCGCGGUAAAACGUAGGACGCAAGCGUUAUCCGGAUUUACUGGGCGUAAAGCGCGUGCAGGCGGCACGGCAAGUCGGACGUGAAAGCUCCUGGCUCAACUGGGAGAGGUCGUUCGAAACUGCCGAGCUUGAGGACGGUAGAGGAGAGUGGAAUUCCGGGUGUAGUGGUGAAAUGCGUAGAUAUCCGGAGGAACACCAGUGGCGAAGGCGGCUCUCUGGGCCGUUCCUGACGCUCAGACGCGAAAGCUAGGGGAGCGAACGGGAUUAGAAACCCCGGUAGUCCUAGCCGUAAACGAUGGAGACUAGGUGUGGGGAGUAUUAACCUCUCUGUGCCGUAGCUAACGCGUUAAGUCUCCCGCCUGGGGAUUACGA